Long non-coding RNA from Panicum virgatum (switchgrass), 432 nucleotides. RefSeq lists it as uncharacterized. The transcript has 3 exons. NCBI's taxonomy places the organism in Eukaryota, Viridiplantae, Streptophyta, Magnoliopsida, Poales, Poaceae. The record is from RefSeq and is a predicted model, not a curated record.
CACAACUGCCGACGCGUCUGUCUCGCGCUCCUCUCCGCCCUCGGCGAACCUCGCGCCGACGCCCCCUUUCCCGGCCACGGCGACCUCGAGCUGGAGUCCAAGGCAAGAUCGAAGAGGGCACGGCAGCGGGAAAGCACAGGAGCAAGGAGAGGACGACGGAAGCGGCGGCGGCGCACCCAAUCCCAACGCCCAUCCUCACCCGGAAGCGCUGGUUCUUCGUCGGCUCCGGCUACGGUCGUUGCAAGGGAAUUAAUGGACAACUUGUGGUAAGGAAUCGGUGUUGCUUCUCAGCAGUUGGGUGAGGUGAAUUACACCCCUGGCAUCGACAUAGAUGAAACCUACAUGCCAACUGAUCAGCAACUUAACAACUUCACUCCUGAGGGAUCCGAAAACGUGAACCCUAUGCCAGCAAAACCAGCAAAGCCUAGGAAA